AGUCGAGCGAGGAAGCCCCUUCGGGGGUGGAAUAGCGGCGGACGGGUGAGUAACACGUGGGUAACCUGCCUCAAAGAGGGGGAUAGCCUCCCGAAAGGGAGAUUAAUACCGCAUAGAAGGUAAAAAUCGCAUGAUAAAUGCCUUAAAGGAGCAAUCCGCUUUGAGAUGGGCCCGCGUCGCAUUAGCUAGUUGGAGGGAUAAAAGCCCCCCAAGGCGACGAUGCGUAGCCGACCUGAGAGGGUGAACGGCCACAUUGGAACUGAGAUACGGUCCAGACUCCUACGGGAGGCAGCAGUGGGGAAUAUUGCACAAUGGGGGAAACCCUGAUGCAGCAACGCCGCGUGAGUGAAGAAGGUUUUCGGAUCGUAAAGCUCUGUCAUCCGGGACGAUAAUGACGGUACCGGAAGAGGAAGCCACGGCUAACUACGUGCCAGCAGCCGCGGUAAUACGUAGGUGGCGAGCGUUGUCCGGAAUUACUGGGCGUAAAGGGUGUGCAGGCGGAUAUUUAAGUGAGAUGUGAAAGACCCGGGCUUAACCCGGGCAGUGCAUUUCAAACUGGAUAUCUAGAGUGCAGGAGAGGAGAACGGAAUUCCUAGUGUAGCGGUGAAAUGCGUAGAGAUUAGGAAGAACACCAGUGGCGAAGGCGGUUCUCUGGACUGUAACUGACGCUGAGGCACGAAAGCGUGGGUAGCAAACAGGAUUAGAUACCCUGGUAGUCCACGCCGUAAACGAUGAGUACUAGGUGUAGGGGGUAUCGACCCCCCCUGUGCCGCAGUAAACACAAUAAGUACUCCGCCUGGGAAGUACGAUCGCAAGAUUAAAACUCAAAGGAAUUGACGGGGACCCGCACAAGCAGCGGAGCAUGUGGUUUAAUUCGAAGCAACGCGAAGAACCUUACCUGGACUUGACAUCCCCUGAAUGACUCGUAAU
Molecule: ribosomal RNA, 930 nt
Filed under: Clostridium kluyveri
Lineage: Bacteria; Bacillati; Bacillota; Clostridia; Eubacteriales; Clostridiaceae
Description: bacterial SSU rRNA
Rfam family: Bacterial small subunit ribosomal RNA
Source: RNAcentral